UACGUAGGCAGCAAGCGUUGUUCGGAGUUACUGGGCGUAAAGGGUGUGUAGGCGGUUCUUUAAGUUUGGUGUGAAAUCUCCCGGCUCAACUGGGAGGGUGCGCCGAAUACUGAGGGACUAGAGUACGGGAGAGGAAAGUGGAAUUCCUGGUGUAGCGGUGAAAUGCGUAGAUAUCAGGAGGAACACCGGUGGUGUAGACGGCUUUCUGGACCGUAACUGACGCUGAGGCGCGAAAGCGUGGGGAGCAAACGGG
Molecule: ribosomal RNA, 253 nt
Filed under: uncultured bacterium
Lineage: Bacteria
Description: partial 16S ribosomal RNA
Rfam family: Bacterial small subunit ribosomal RNA
Source: RNAcentral